RNAcentral lists this ribosomal RNA (774 nucleotides) under uncultured Neocallimastigales. Its description in RNAcentral is "partial large subunit ribosomal RNA". It matches the Rfam family "Eukaryotic large subunit ribosomal RNA", at positions 24 to 614 of the family's 3401-position model. Lineage: Eukaryota; Fungi; Neocallimastigomycota; Neocallimastigomycetes; Neocallimastigales. The record is from RNAcentral.
UAUGUGAUCGUCUCUCGCAUAUCAAUAAGCGGAGGAAAAGAAACUAACAAGGAUUCCCCUAGUAACGGCGAGUGAAGCGGGAAGAGCUCAAAUUUGAAAUCUUAAAGGGUUUCCCUUUACGAAUUGUAGUUUAAAGAAGUGUUUUCUGUUGAGGUUUUGGUAAAAGUUCUUUGGAAUAGGACAUCAUAGAGGGUGAGAAUCCCGUAUUUGACCUUUACUUUCAACUUUGUGAUACACUUUCAAAGAGUCGGAUUGUUUGGGAAUGCAGUCCAAAAUGGGUGGUAAAUUCAUCUAAAGCUAAAUAUUGGCGAGAGACCGAUAGCGAACAAGUACCGUGAGGGAAAGAUGAAAAGAACUUUGAAAAGAGAGUUAAACAGUACGUGAAAUUGUCAAAAGGGAAGCGUUUGACACCAGUGUUGUUUUUCUGAAAAUCAAUUAAAGAACUGUUUAUGCUAAGUUGUUUAGACUUUAUCAGCUAAUCUGCUUAGUUUUGAGCUUUUCUUUAAUGCACUUUUCAGUUAACAAGUCAACAUCAAUUUCUUUUGCUGUAAAAAAGCUUGAGGAAGGUGGCUUGAGAUUCGUCUUAAGUGUUUAUAGCCUCUUGCCUAUGCAGUCGGAGAGAUUGAGGUCUGCAGCGUAGAUCCUUCGGGGCUAAAUGCAUUUGUGCUAAGUUAUAGCAUUUUAUAGACAACUUGUUGACUAUGAUUUGUCUUGUAGCUUACUCGCUUAUGUUAUUUUACCUACGCUUAGGAUGUUGAACGCGCACAGAGUCUC